UUAAGCGACUAAGCGUACACGGUGGAUGCCCUGGCAGUCAGAGGCGAUGAAGGACGUGCUAAUCUGCGAUAAGCGUCGGUAAGGUGAUAUGAACCGUUAUAACCGGCGAUUUCCGAAUGGGGAAACCCAGUGUGUUUCGACACACUAUCAUUAACUGAAUCCAUAGGUUAAUGAGGCGAACCGGGGGAACUGAAACAUCUAAGUACCCCGAGGAAAAGAAAUCAACCGAGAUUCCCCCAGUAGCGGCGAGCGAACGGGGAGCAGCCCAGAGCCUGAAUCAGUGUGUGUGUUAGUGGAAGCGUCUGGAAAGGCGCGCGAUACAGGGUGACAGCCCCGUACACAAAAAUGCACAUGCUGUGAGCUCGAUGAGUAGGGCGGGACACGUGGUAUCCUGUCUGAAUAUGGGGGGACCAUCCUCCAAGGCUAAAUACUCCUGACUGACCGAUAGUGAACCAGUACCGUGAGGGAAAGGCGAAAAGAACCCCGGCGAGGGGAGUGAAAAAGAACCUGAAACCGUGUACGUACAAGCAGUGGGAGCACGCUUCGGCGUGUGACUGCGUACCUUUUGUAUAAUGGGUCAGCGACUUAUAUUCUGUAGCAAGGUUAACCGAAUAGGGGAGCCGAAGGGAAACCGAGUCUUAACUGGGCGUUAAGUUGCAGGGUAUAGACCCGAAACCCGGUGAUCUAGCCAUGGGCAGGUUGAAGGUUGGGUAACACUAACUGGAGGACCGAACCGACUAAUGUUGAAAAAUUAGCGGAUGACUUGUGGCUGGGGGUGAAAGGCCAAUCAAACCGGGAGAUAGCUGGUUCUCCCCGAAAGCUAUUUAGGUAGCGCCUCGUGAAUUCAUCUCCGGGGGUAGAGCACUGUUUCGGCAAGGGGGUCAUCCCGACUUACCAACCCGAUGCAAACUGCGAAUACCGGAGAAUGUUAUCACGGGAGACACACGGCGGGUGCUAACGUCCGUCGUGAAGAGGGAAACAACCCAGACCGCCAGCUAAGGUCCCAAAGUCAUGGUUAAGUGGGAAACGAUGUGGGAAGGCCCAGACAGCCAGGAUGUUGGCUUAGAAGCAGCCAUCAUUUAAAGAAAGCGUAAUAGCUCACUGGUCGAGUCGGCCUGCGCGGAAGAUGUAACGGGGCUAAACCAUGCACCGAAGCUGCGGCAGCGACGCUUAUGCGUUGUUGGGUAGGGGAGCGUUCUGUAAGCCUGUGAAGGUGUGCUGUGAGGCAUGCUGGAGGUAUCAGAAGUGCGAAUGCUGACAUAAGUAACGAUAAAGCGGGUGAAAAGCCCGCUCGCCGGAAGACCAAGGGUUCCUGUCCAACGUUAAUCGGGGCAGGGUGAGUCGACCCCUAAGGCGAGGCCGAAAGGCGUAGUCGAUGGGAAACAGGUUAAUAUUCCUGUACUUGGUGUUACUGCGAAGGGGGGACGGAGAAGGCUAUGUUGGCCGGGCGACGGUUGUCCCGGUUUAAGCGUGUAGGCUGGUUUUCCAGGCAAAUCCGGAAAAUCAAGGCUGAGGCGUGAUGACGAGGCACUACGGUGCUGAAGCAACAAAUGCCCUGCUUCCAGGAAAAGCCUCUAAGCAUCAGGUAACAUCAAAUCGUACCCCAAACCGACACAGGUGGUCAGGUAGAGAAUACCAAGGCGCUUGAGAGAACUCGGGUGAAGGAACUAGGCAAAAUGGUGCCGUAACUUCGGGAGAAGGCACGCUGAUAUGUAGGUGAAGUCCCUUGCGGAUGGAGCUGAAAUCAGUCGAAGAUACCAGCUGGCUGCAACUGUUUAUUAAAAACACAGCACUGUGCAAACACGAAAGUGGACGUAUACGGUGUGACGCCUGCCCGGUGCCGGAAGGUUAAUUGAUGGGGUCAGCGCAAGCGAAGCUCUUGAUCGAAGCCCCGGUAAACGGCGGCCGUAACUAUAACGGUCCUAAGGUAGCGAAAUUCCUUGUCGGGUAAGUUCCGACCUGCACGAAUGGCGUAAUGAUGGCCAGGCUGUCUCCACCCGAGACUCAGUGAAAUUGAACUCGCUGUGAAGAUGCAGUGUACCCGCGGCAAGACGGAAAGACCCCGUGAACCUUUACUAUAGCUUGACACUGAACAUUGAGCCUUGAUGUGUAGGAUAGGUGGGAGGCUUUGAAGUGUGGACGCCAGUCUGCAUGGAGCCGACCUUGAAAUACCACCCUUUAAUGUUUGAUGUUCUAACGUUGACCCGUAAUCCGGGUUGCGGACAGUGUCUGGUGGGUAGUUUGACUGGGGCGGUCUCCUCCUAAAGAGUAACGGAGGAGCACGAAGGUUGGCUAAUCCUGGUCGGACAUCAGGAGGUUAGUGCAAUGGCAUAAGCCAGCUUGACUGCGAGCGUGACGGCGCGAGCAGGUGCGAAAGCAGGUCAUAGUGAUCCGGUGGUUCUGAAUGGAAGGGCCAUCGCUCAACGGAUAAAAGGUACUCCGGGGAUAACAGGCUGAUACCGCCCAAGAGUUCAUAUCGACGGCGGUGUUUGGCACCUCGAUGUCGGCUCAUCACAUCCUGGGGCUGAAGUAGGUCCCAAGGGUAUGGCUGUUCGCCAUUUAAAGUGGUACGCGAGCUGGGUUUAGAACGUCGUGAGACAGUUCGGUCCCUAUCUGCCGUGGGCGCUGGAGAACUGAGGGGGGCUGCUCCUAGUACGAGAGGACCGGAGUGGACGCAUCACUGGUGUUCGGGUUGUCAUGCCAAUGGCACUGCCCGGUAGCUAAAUGCGGAAGAGAUAAGUGCUGAAAGCAUCUAAGCACGAAACUUGCCCCGAGAUGAGUUCUCCCUGACUCCUUGAGAGUCCUGAAGGAACGUUGAAGACGACGACGUUGAUAGGCCGGGUGUGUAAGCGCAGCGAUGCGUUGAGCUAACCGGUACUAAUGAACCGUGAGGCUUAACCUU
RNAcentral lists this ribosomal RNA (2902 nucleotides) under Escherichia coli. Its description in RNAcentral is "bacterial LSU rRNA". It matches the Rfam family "Bacterial large subunit ribosomal RNA". The record is from RNAcentral. Lineage: Bacteria; Pseudomonadati; Pseudomonadota; Gammaproteobacteria; Enterobacterales; Enterobacteriaceae. RNAcentral also lists the same sequence under 1 other name.